Non-coding RNA from Durio zibethinus, 2000 nucleotides. Lineage: Eukaryota; Viridiplantae; Streptophyta; Magnoliopsida; Malvales; Malvaceae. The record is from RefSeq and is a predicted model, not a curated record.
AAAAUUAUUUAAAAAAAAAAAAAGGCCAGAACAGCUCUCAGCCUUAAAAAAUCUUAAAAAAAAAAAAAUGGACAUUUUGAUUUUAAUAAGUCUUGUAGAGGAAGAUUGAAAGAGAGAAGAAGGCAGAAAGCGCAGAGGAAUUUGGUACAUGCGAGAUACGAAGGACGGAGAACGAAACGCGAGUUUCUCUUCAACUUCUCCGUUUCGAUUUCUCAGCUGAUUACUUCUUUUUCUUUCUUUUUCUAGUUUUAGUUCCUUUUUUGGCGAACAUAUAUAAUAUAUAUUUGUUUCCUGACAAUGUCUGACGAGACGGCGUCGUCUUCUGGAAUCGUCUUGGAAGGAAUUGCUGACGUGGAAGACUACGUCUGGGCAAAUGAAGGAGCGGGAUCAUUGCCAUGGGACCCAUAUAGUCUUGUUUAUGAUCAUAUGGAGAAAGGAAACCGAGCAUUCCGAGAGAAUCAUUUUGAGGAGGCAAUCAACAAUUACUCAAGGGCCAAUAACAUGAAACCUGGUGAUCCUGUUAUUCUUGGUAACAGAAGUGCUGCCUACAUGAGGAUUAGUCAAUUUCUGAAACGUAGAUCUCCAACAGCUUCUGAAUAUAGGCCAUUGAAUGGACUGGACAUGACAACACUUGCUGGACUUGCUCUUAAGGAUGCGGAGAGGCUAAUGAGCUUGCAGAAUAAUGCAGCAAGAUCCUACAUCUUAAAGGCCAAUGCUCUCAUCUUGUUGGAAAGAUAUGAGAUGGCACGGGAUAUUAUUCUUUCUGGUCUUCAACUUGAUCCCUUCAGUGACAUUCUCCGGGCCUCUCUUCAGAGUUUGGAGAGAAUGCCGUCCAGUUUGAUGCGGACUAGAGGCCAUGAGGUGCUGGAACAUACUGAUGACUUUGAUUGCACUCUUUGUCUGAAGUUUCUAUAUGAACCUGUAACAACACCUUGUGGGCAUUCCUUUUGUCGGUCAUGUUUAUUUCAGACAAUGGAUCGUAGCAAUAAAUGUCCAUUGUGCCGAACAGUGCUCUUCAUUGGUCCUAGAACAUGUGCAGUAAGUGUAACACUAAACAACAUCAUACAAAAAAACUUCCCAGAAGAAUAUGCUGAAAGGAAGUCAGAGCAUGACAGGCUGAUCAAUUUUGGUAAUGAUCUGAUACCUCUUUUCGUCAUGGAUGUUGUCAUCCCUUGCCAGAAGUUUCCACUCCACAUAUUUGAACCCCGGUACAGACUUAUGGUGAGGAGAAUAAUGGAAGGGAAUCACAGGAUGGGAAUGGUCGUCAAUGAUCCUGCUACAGAUUCCAUUGCUGAUUUUGCUUGUGAAGUGGAGAUCACUGAAUGUGAGCCACUUGCUGAUGGACGCUUUGCUCUAGAGAUUGAAAGUCGCCGGAGAUUUCGCAUCAUCAGAUCUUGGGACCAAGAUGGAUAUCGAAUGGCAGAGGUUGAGUGGGUACAAGACAUACCACCAACGGAUGCGAGAGAUAGAGAAGAUUUGCAGGAGAUGACAAAUAAUGCAGCAGGAUAUGCUCGGUCAUGGUUAAAUACUGCAAAAGAAUCAACACGAGAUCGAAGAAGGCUCGAGAUACUCUGUAAUAUUGAAGUAAUGAUGCCCAACCCACAAGAUCCGGAGCACUUCAGUUUCUGGCUAGCUACUCUGUCAAAUCGGAGGCCUUCAGAAAGAUUGGAACUCCUCCGAAUCAGAGACACAGGAGAGAGAAUAAGACGGGGACUAAUAUACCUCACAGCAGAAGCACAUGGACAUGCAAAGGAAUCUAAACCUGUGGAGAAUGUCACACUAAAACCAUGGCAGCUGCUGUGCCUAUUCUGAGGUAAAAGAGAAUGAAAGGGUUGAAUGGGUGAGCAUUGAAUGCUGCUCAAAUAAAGAAACGCACACGACGGUCUUCUUCUUUCCUCAUUCAUCAAAAAAAAUGAAGAUAACUCGUUAACAGGGAUUACAGCUUUACACGUCAGUUCCUACAUGCUUCCAGCAAACUACCCUUUGGCCUAACUGUCUUC